AGCCGGAGGGUGAGCCGGGCUGACCUGACUCCGAGCUUUCCCGGAGUUAAUUCGCGGAGGAGUUCGCUCCCCCCGCAAGGGCACGCGACGCCAGCGGGCAACCAGCCCCCGCGCGGAAUGGCUCCCGAACAACUUAGUUCACCUCCUUUAAAAGAGGGUGAUAAAGCGCGCUUUCUCUUUCCGCCGACUCCAGACCGCCCCAGCAGGCGCGCGGCGGGGCGACGUCCUCCGCGCCGUCUGGACCCCUGCACACCCGCGCGCGGCCACCGGGAAGAGGGACAAAGAGUUUGGGCCAAGUUUGAGCUCCGGGCACUGCCAGGCUCGGGGGAAGGAAGGUUCCCCCGGGCGGACACCUGGGUGCCGAAGGUGGAGCAAGGAGAAAAAGCUACCCGGUCCUGUUAGAUAGGUGAGAAGUCAGCUAGUUUCCAGGUUGUCAGGACUCAGGAACAAGAGUGGGAAUCGGGCAACCUCCUAACAUUCCAGGCCAGAUCGAAGACUCUCAAGCCAGAUGGCGUUUCCAAAGUGCCCAGCUGUGUGCGGCUCAUCAGAAAAACUGAUGUUUCAUUUUGGUUCCAGAAACUGUUUCCCAGCCUUGGUACAGAUCUCCUUUAAUGAGAAUUUGGUGACGUGAAACGUUUGGAAAACAAAACACCUCCGGGACCCACAUCCCACAGGUAGACCAGUCUCAAGGCAGUAAGUGAUUUAGGGUGCCCCUCCCCCACAUCUUCCAGAGGGAGUAUGAAUUUGAACCCAGGUCUGCUUGACUCCCACGCCUGGUUUCUUGACCAGCCUUUGGCUCACGAUGUAAGUUACAACAGGAACCCAGAAGACACCAGGGUCCACCAGGGGCCAUCCACAGACACCUGGGCCUGCCAAGCCUCCUUUGCAGAGGGCCUCCUGCCCCCAGCCUCGGAGCUAAACUGUCCUUUCUCUAAUCUUCACGCAAAAUGGAUUUUAGUAGCUGGAUUUUAUUGAGAAACUGACUCCCUCAUCGCCCCACCCCCAGCGUUGAAAAACAUAUUGUCUUCUUUACAGUAGUUCAUUUUGCUUUCCGAGGUGAUUAAUGAAUUAAAGAUGCAGUGUAUUUA
This is a long non-coding RNA of Lagenorhynchus albirostris (white-beaked dolphin), 1088 nucleotides long. RefSeq lists it as uncharacterized. NCBI's taxonomy places the organism in Eukaryota, Metazoa, Chordata, Mammalia, Artiodactyla, Delphinidae. The transcript is spliced from 2 exons. The record is from RefSeq and is a predicted model, not a curated record.